GACCUGAUGCAGCCAUGCCGCGUGUGUGAAGAAGGCCUUCGGGUUGUAAAGCACUUUCAGUUGUGAGGAAAAGUUAGUAGUUAAUACCUGCUAGCCGUGACGUUAACAACAGAAGAAGCACCGGCUAACUCCGUGCCAGCAGCCGCGGUAAUACGGAGGGUGCGAGCGUUAAUCGGAAUUACUGGGCGUAAAGCGCACGCAGGCGGUUUGUUAAGCUAGAUGUGAAAGCCCCGGGCUCAACCUGGGAUGGUCAUUUAGAACUGGCAGACUAGAGUCUUGGAGAGGGGAGUGGAAUUCCAGGUGUAGCGGUGAAAUGCGUAGAUAUCUGGAGGAACAUCAGUGGCGAAGGCGACUCCCUGGCCAAAGACUGACGCUCAUGUGCGAAAGUGUGGGUAGCGAACAGGAUUAGAUACCCUGGUAGUCCACACCGUAAACGCUGUCUACUAGCUGUUUGUGACUUUAAGUCGUGAGUAGCGAAGCUAACGCGAUAAGUAGACCGCCUGGGGAGUACGGCCGCAAGGUUAAAACUCAAAUG
Molecule: ribosomal RNA, 535 nt
Filed under: Alteromonas sp.
Lineage: Bacteria; Pseudomonadati; Pseudomonadota; Gammaproteobacteria; Alteromonadales; Alteromonadaceae
Description: bacterial SSU rRNA
Rfam family: Bacterial small subunit ribosomal RNA
Source: RNAcentral